GGUUCGAUCACGGCCUGGGAUUGAACGCUGGCGGGAUGCUUUACACAUGCAAGUCGAACGUGGCAGCACGGACUUCGGUCUGGUGGCGAGUGGCGAACGGGCGAGUAAUGCAUCGGAACGUGCCUAGUAGCGGGGAUAACUACGCGAAAGCGUAGCUAAUACUGCAUACUACCCUUCGGGGAAAGCGGGGACCUUCGGGCCUGCACUAUUAGAGCGGCCGAUAUCGGAUUAGCUAGUUGGUGGGGUAACGGCUCACUACAUGAUCCGUGGCUGGUUUGAGGGACGACCAGCCACACUGGACUGGAGACACGGCCCAGACUCCUACGGGAGGCAGCAGUGGGGAAUUCUGGACAAUGGGGGAACUUCGAUCUAGCCAUCCGCGUGUGUGCGAUGCAUACUGGUUAAAAAGCACCUUUUUGGCAGGAAAGAAACGGCACGGGAUAAUGGCUCCCGUGCAACUGACGGUACCUGCAGCACCGGCUAAACGCCGCGCCAGCAGCCGCGGUAAUACGUAGGGUGCAAGCGUUAAUCGGAAUUACUGGGCGUAAAGCGUGCGCAGGCGGUUCGGAAAGAAAGAUGUGAAAUCCCAGAGCUUAACUUUGGAACUGCAUUUUUAACUGCCUUGUUAGAGUGUGUCAGAGGGGAGGUGGAAUUCCGCGCGGGGCAGUGAAAUGCGUAGAUAUGCGGAGGAACACCGAUGGCGAAGGCAGCCUCCUGGGAUAACACUGACGCUCAUGCACGAAAGCGUGGGGAGCAAACAGGAUUAGAUUCUGGUGAAUCACGUCUUGGUAAAACGAUGUCAACUAGCUGUUGGGGCCUCGGGCCUCGGUAGCGCAGCUAACGCGUGUAGUUGACCGCCUGGGGAGUACGGUCGCAAGAUUAAACUCAAAGGAAUUGAUUGUGACCUCAUACAAGCGGUGGAUGAUGUGGAUUAAUUCGAUGCAACGCGAAAACCUUACCUACCCUUGACAUGUCUGAAUCCCGAAGAGAUUUGGGAGUGCUCGCAAGAGAAACCGGAACACAGGUGCUGCAUGGCUGUCAUCGCCGUCGUAGAUGGCAAGUCCCGCAACGAGCGCAACCCUUGUCAUUAGUUGCUAUUGGUGGCAACACCGACGAGACUGCCGGUGACAAACCGGAGGAAGGUGGGGAUGACGUCAAGUCCUCAUGGCCCUUAUGGGUAGGGCUUCACACGCACAAUGGUCGACAGAGGGCUGCCAACCCGCGAGGGGAGCCAAUCCCAGAAACCCGAUCGUAGUCCGGAUCGCAGUCUGCAACUCGACUGCGUGAAGUCGGAAUCGCUAGUAAUCGCGGAUCAGCAUGUCGCGGUGAAUACGUUCCCGGGUCUUGUACACACCGCCCGUCACACUAUGAUGGCUUUACCAGAAGUAGUUAGCCUAACCGUAAGGAGGGCGAUUACCACGGUAGGAUUCAUGACUGGGGUGAAGUCGUAACAAGGUAA
This 1459-nucleotide ribosomal RNA is filed under the name uncultured Bordetella sp. RNAcentral's name for it is "partial 16S-23S ribosomal RNA intergenic spacer". It matches the Rfam family "Bacterial small subunit ribosomal RNA". The record is from RNAcentral. Lineage: Bacteria; Pseudomonadati; Pseudomonadota; Betaproteobacteria; Burkholderiales; Alcaligenaceae.